RNAcentral lists this transfer RNA (78 nucleotides) under Acidimicrobiaceae bacterium. RNAcentral's name for it is "tRNA-Pro". It matches the Rfam family "tRNA". Rfam says of the family: Transfer RNA (tRNA) molecules are approximately 80 nucleotides in length. Lineage: Bacteria; Bacillati; Actinomycetota; Acidimicrobiia; Acidimicrobiales; Acidimicrobiaceae. The record is from RNAcentral.
CGGGCUGUGGCGCAGCUUGGCUAGCGCACCUGCUUUGGGAGCAGGGGGUCGUGAGUUCGAAUCUCACCAGCCCGACCC